This 113-nucleotide ribosomal RNA is filed under the name uncultured Cyllamyces. RNAcentral's name for it is "partial 5.8S ribosomal RNA". It matches the Rfam family "5.8S ribosomal RNA", at positions 1 to 113 of the family's 154-position model. From Rfam's summary of the family: 5.8S ribosomal RNA (5.8S rRNA) is a component of the large subunit of the eukaryotic ribosome. It is transcribed by RNA polymerase I as part of the 45S precursor that also contains 18S and 28S rRNA. Lineage: Eukaryota; Fungi; Neocallimastigomycota; Neocallimastigomycetes; Neocallimastigales; Neocallimastigaceae. The record is from RNAcentral.
CAACUUUUGACAAUGGAUCUCUUGGUUCUCGCAACGAUGAAGAACGCAGCAAAAUGCGAUAAGUAGUGUGAAUUGCAGAAUACGUGAAUCACCGAAUCUUCGAACGCAUAUUG